AUUGAACGCUGGCGGAAUGCUUUACACAUGCAAGUCGAACGGCAGCACGGACUUCGGUCUGGUGGCGAGUGGCGAACGGGUGAGUAAUACAUCGGAACGUGCCCAGUCGUGGGGGAUAACGUAGCGAAAGCUACGCUAAUACCGCAUACGAUCUACGGAUGAAAGCGGGGGAUCGCAAGACCUCGCGCGAUUGGAGCGGCCGAUGGCAGAUUAGGCAGUUGGUAGGGUAAAGGCCUACCAAGCCGACGAUCUGUAGCUGGACUGAGAGGAUGAUCAGCCACACUGGGACUGAGACACGGCCCAGACUCCUACGGGAGGCAGCAGUGGGGAAUUUUGGACAAUGGGCGCAAGCCUGAUCCAGCCAUUCCGCGUGCAGGAUGAAGGCCUUCGGGUUGUAAACUGCUUUUGUACAGAACGAAAAGGCUCUGGUUAAUACCUGGGGCUCAUGACGGUACUGUAAGAAUAAGCACCGGCUAACUACGUGCCAGCCGCCGCAGUAA
Molecule: ribosomal RNA, 500 nt
Filed under: uncultured bacterium
Lineage: Bacteria
Description: partial 16S ribosomal RNA
Rfam family: Bacterial small subunit ribosomal RNA
Source: RNAcentral